This 253-nucleotide ribosomal RNA is filed under the name uncultured bacterium. RNAcentral describes it as "partial 16S ribosomal RNA". It matches the Rfam family "Bacterial small subunit ribosomal RNA", at positions 524 to 776 of the family's 1533-position model. The record is from RNAcentral.
UACGAAGGGGGCUAGCGUUGCUCGGAUUGACUGGGCGUAAAGGGCGCGUAGGCGGUCUGUACAGUCAGGCGUGAAAUUCCUGGGCUCAACCUGGGGGCUGCGUUUGAUACGUGCAGACUAGAGUGCGGAAGAGGGUCGUGGAAUUCCUGGUGUAGCGGUGAAAUGCGUAGAUAUCAGGAGGAACACCCAUGGCGAAGGCAGCUAACUGGGCAUUAUCUGACGCUGAGGCGCGAAAGCGUGGGUAGCAAACAGG